CAAAAGCGUAUAUUAAAGUUGUUGCAGUUAAAAAGCUCGUAGUUGAACCUUGGGCUUGGCUGGCCGGUCCAUCUUUUUGAUGCGUACUGGACCCAGCCGAGCCUUUCCUUCUGGGUAGCCAUUUAUGGCGAACCAGGACUUUUACUUUGAAAAAAUUAGAGUGUUCAAAGCAGGCCUUUGCUCGAAUAUAUUAGCAUGGAAUAAUAGAAUAGGACGUUAUGGUUCUAUUUUGUUGGUUUCUAGGACCAUCGUAAUGAUUAAUAGGGACGGUCGGGGGUAUCAGUAUUCAGUUGUCAGAGGUGAAAUUCUUGGAUUUACUGAAGACUAACUACUGCGAAAGCAUUUACCAAGGACGUUUNCAUUAA
This 365-nucleotide ribosomal RNA is filed under the name uncultured eukaryote. Its description in RNAcentral is "partial 18S ribosomal RNA". It matches the Rfam family "Eukaryotic small subunit ribosomal RNA", at positions 592 to 976 of the family's 1831-position model. The record is from RNAcentral.